AUACGUAGGGGGCGAGCGUUGUCCGGAAUUACUGGGCGUAAAGGGUGCGUAGGCGGCUUUUUAAGUUGGAUGUGAAAUACCCGGGCUUAACUUGGGGGGUGCAUUCAAAACUGGAGGGCUAGAGUUCAGGAGAGGGAAGCGGAAUUCCUAGUGUAGCGGUGAAAUGCGUAGAUAUUAGGAGGAACACCAGUGGCGAAGGCGGCUUUCUGGACUGACACUGACGCUGAUGCACGAAAGCGUGGGGAGCAAACAGGAUUAGAUACCCUGGUAGUCCACGCUGUAAACGAUGAAUACUAGGUGUAGGGGGUAUGAACUCCCCCUGUGCCGUAGCAAACGCAAUAAGUAUUCCGCCUGGGGAGUACGGCCGCAAGGUUGAA
This 377-nucleotide ribosomal RNA is filed under the name uncultured bacterium. Its description in RNAcentral is "bacterial SSU rRNA". It matches the Rfam family "Bacterial small subunit ribosomal RNA", at positions 523 to 898 of the family's 1533-position model. The record is from RNAcentral.